RNAcentral lists this ribosomal RNA (250 nucleotides) under Uroplatus fimbriatus (common flat-tail gecko). Its description in RNAcentral is "partial small subunit ribosomal RNA". Lineage: Eukaryota; Metazoa; Chordata; Lepidosauria; Squamata; Gekkonidae. The record is from RNAcentral.
AACCCACGCUAAACCUCACCCACCUUUGCAUAAACAGUCUAUAUACCUCCGUCGCCAGCCCGCCUGAAAACAGACACAAAGCGGGUAUAAUAGCCCAUCGCUAAUACGACAGGUCAAGGUGUAACUAAUAGGUCGGGCAGAGAUGGGCUACAUUUUCUAAAAUUGAACAUACCAACCUCACUAUGAAACUUGUGAUAAAAGGUGGAUUUAGCAGUAAGUAAGGACAAGAAAAGCCCAACUGAAACGCGCC